RNAcentral lists this ribosomal RNA (433 nucleotides) under uncultured bacterium. RNAcentral describes it as "partial 16S ribosomal RNA". It matches the Rfam family "Bacterial small subunit ribosomal RNA", at positions 29 to 507 of the family's 1533-position model. The record is from RNAcentral.
AACGAACGCUGGCGGCAUGCCUAACACAUGCAAGUCGAACGAGACCUUCGGGUCUAGUGGCGCACGGGUGCGUAACGCGUGGGAACCUGCCUUUAGGUUCGGAAUAACUCAGAGAAAUUUGAGCUAAUACCAGAUGAUGUCUUCGGACCAAAGAUUUAUCGCCUUUAGAUGGGCCCGCGUUGGAUUAGCUAGUUGGUGGGGUAAAGGCCUACCAAGGCGACGAUCCAUAGCUGGUCUGAGAGGAUGAUCAGCCACACUGGGACUGAGACACGGCCCAGACUCCUACGGGAGGCAGCAGUGGGGAAUAUUGGACAAUGGGCGAAAGCCUGAUCCAGCAAUGCCGCGUGAGUGAUGAAGGCCUUAGGGUUGUAAAGCUCUUUUACCCGAGAUGAUAAUGACAGUAUCGGGAGAAUAAGCUCCGGCUAACUCCGUG